This 292-nucleotide ribosomal RNA is filed under the name uncultured bacterium. Its description in RNAcentral is "partial 16S ribosomal RNA". The record is from RNAcentral. RNAcentral also lists the same sequence under 1 other name.
GGACUACUGGGGUAUCUAAUCCUGUUUGCUCCCCACGCUUUCGCGUCUCAGCGUCAGAAACCGUCCAGAUAGCCGCCUUCGCCACUGGUGUUCUUCCCAAUCUCUACGUAUUUCACCACUACACUGGGAAUUCCACUAUCCUCUCCGGUCCUCUAGCCGCCAAGUAUCGAGUGCAAUUCUUGAGUUGAGCUCAAGGCUUUCACACCCGACUUUGACAGCCGCCUGCACGCGCUUUACGCCCAGUAAUUCCGAACAACGCUAGCCCCCUUCGUCUUACCGCGGCUGCUGGCAC